ACCAGAAGGUUUUGGGCCGAAACC
Molecule: non-coding RNA, 24 nt
Filed under: Arabidopsis thaliana (thale cress)
Lineage: Eukaryota; Viridiplantae; Streptophyta; Magnoliopsida; Brassicales; Brassicaceae
Source: RNAcentral